UGUUACAGUGAACAUCAAAGUGUAAAAAAAAAAACUAGUGUGAUAUUUAAGAGUGAAUUCUGUUUGUGCAUUUAUAUAUAUAGAAUGAGUCAUACGUUAUGGAAAAGUGUAAAAAGUCAAAGCAGAAGCAGCAUUGUUACCAGUAUGGCAGAAAAUCCAACAUAGCAGUUGCAUAGGAUCAAAAAUGGGCACUGAAAUUGAAACAAAGAAACCCCACACAGUUGAGGAAAAGAAAGCGUGUCGACGUCAUCCAUCAGUCAAGAGUUAUGGGGAAUUUCGCAAUGCGAAAACCAGUUGGCGACACAGAGUCUCUCGAUAUGGCUAGAAAGUACAUACAAACAUAACUCGUUCCUAGGCAGGCUGAGGCAAAUCCCGGAUGUUGAGGCAGCUGUCCAAAACUCUUGUAGCUAGUUCGAGGUGACUGCGGAUUUGUUAAAUUAUGGAUUAGGAAUCCAGUUGGGCGUUGAAAGUUGAUACGCGUGAUCGAUCCAAGAAUUAAGCGCAAACGCCCACGCAAUGGCAAUGGCAAUCGCAAAUGCCAUCGGUCUUUGAAAUGAUGGCUGAUGGCAAUUCAGCACAUUUCAGUCAAGUCCAAUUUGCCGCGUGUGGUUCUAGUUUGCCAGCGAUGAUGGUAUUGUUAAUAUUAUCGUUGUCAUGGGCGGCGUGCAGGUUACAUCAUUUCUGACGGAUUGAUUGUAGGAACACUGGUGUAUCGACUUCUCUGCUCCACUAAGAGUCUCUCACGUGUGGUCUUCAGUUGCGAUAACAAACCGAAAAAUCCGUGUACCAAACAGACUUAUAUACAUAUUCUCUGUUUUCACAUCAAUCGGUUGAGUUUGCCCAGCGUUGAAACUGUCCUUUUAUCUACCAUCAAUUUAUCUGGAGUAAAAACUGAACGAUUCUAUGUUGAGACUUAUACGGUAGAUGGUUAUAUUUAUAUAUAAAUAUCUAAAAAUGCAUUGACUUUUUAUUUUAUUCUUUGUUAUAUACACAACUUUAUAUACCAAUACCAACAACACUUUGUCAUCUUGUGUUCUUAAUUAGCAAAAGUUGCUAAAACAUUUUUUCCCCGACUUAAGAAUUUAAGAAUUACACAAAUUGUAAAUUUUACUUGUCGAUACUGAAAAAAAAGGAAAUGGAAAAGCAAAAAGAGAAAAGAAAACAGAAAAAGAUUACAAAAAGCUGACCAUAGAAAAGAAACCAGAAAAAAAAUACUAAAAGAAAAUAUAUUCCAAAAAUAAAUCUCGAAACAUUUU
Drosophila willistoni is the source of this 1256-nucleotide long non-coding RNA. RefSeq lists it as uncharacterized. Lineage: Eukaryota; Metazoa; Arthropoda; Insecta; Diptera; Drosophilidae. The transcript is spliced from 2 exons. The record is from RefSeq and is a predicted model, not a curated record.